Molecule: long non-coding RNA, 724 nt
Organism: Mauremys reevesii (Reeves's turtle)
Lineage: Eukaryota; Metazoa; Chordata; Testudines; Geoemydidae
Exons: 4
Source: RefSeq, a predicted model, not a curated record
CAUCUGCUCCGGGUUUUCCGCGGCACCGAAGGACCUGCUGCCGCCGAAGACCCCCGGAGCAGACCCCACCGCCGCUGAAAUGCUGCCGAAGACCCCCGGGGCGGGGCCCCCUUAGGCGCUGGCGUGGUGCCCUCUUUGGCGUGGGGCCCGAUUCCGGGGAAUCGGGUGAAUCCGCUUAAAGCUGGCCCUGGAUGAAGUAGAUAGUACAGUGGACCACCUUGCCAAAACCAUGUGGAAGUCUGACACCAAUUGUAGAUUUAAAUAAGGCCAGAAGAAGAGUAAGAAAUUGCAUUCCGUUAAGCAAGACUGCCUAAGGGACUUGAUGGGAUGCUGUCUCCUUGCAUUCAUUUGUAAGCUGCCAAAUCAUGCAAAGUAUUGUAGCCUCCAAAAUUAGGGGCUCUGAUUCAUGCAAGUGAUUACGUGAAUGUUUCUCCAACCUCAAUACAACAUACUUCAGCAGUCUCAUUGUGUAACAUCUAGGAAAAAACACCAACCGUGAUCCUGCAUAGCAUUCAACUCUUUUUUCACUUUAUCGCUUCUCCCUAUCCAUCUGUGUGAUCGUGCAGUGCCUGAGGAUGUCUUGGAUGGUGUGUGGGACAGAGGCCAAGCAGCCCAGCAAUGUAGAGUUAUCUCUGUUGGUGUUGAAUACACUAACGCCUGUAACAGAUAUUGCGGUAGUAAAGAGAAUAACAGUGAGCUUGUCGUGCUGGAGAAGCUUGUACAA